CUGCGGAGGUGUGGGGGGGUCGACGCGGGGUCCGCAGCGGCCUCGGCCCUCGUCCGCUGGCUGCGACUGCGCGCGGCUGCCGCGCGCGACUCCCGCGCUGGCCGGCUCGCGCCCUGGCUGUGGCGGCGGCGCGCGGACAGCGGGCAGGCGCGCGCCUCCUACGUUUCUACCUCCACCGCAGCGCUGGCCCAGAGCUCGAUGCGGAAGGGGAGGAGACAGGGGAGGGGAGGAGGGGCCAAGAAGUUUCUAGAGAGGUAACGAGAGGAUUUAAAAAGCCUGAGCGCGCAAGGGGUUGAGGAGAAAGUACGCAUUACGCGGCCAAGGGGGAGGGGAAGAGUCGCCUAGUGGGCGGGCGCGUUGUCAUCAGCGCACAGCAAAUCUUUUUUCUGCUAUAUAUUUUAGAUUUAUGUGAAAGCACAAAUAAGUACAAAGCAAAGUGCCUUCUCAGAAGCGGUAGUGGGGGUAGCUUGCACAUCUCUUGGCUUGCCGGGCUGGGGAAUCUCGUUGGAAAACUAUAUGCUUAAAACUGAGUCAGGAAAGGUGGAAGCAGGCUUAGUGUGCUUCUGACACAAGUUCUGUGGCUAAGAAUUACCUUUGAGUUGUAAAACGUUUGUAUGGGGGUGUUGAAGGGGGAUGGAGAAGCAUGUGAACACAACUGGAACGUGCAGUCCAGAAAGUCAUUGUUCCCAUCUUCAGGAAAGCACAGGUUAUCUUUUAGGUUGUGCACUUGCAGAUCACUGUUUCCAUACAGAUGCUGGGGCCUGCCUGCCAUGUGACACCAGCAGUCCUACAGUGCUUAUGAGGACAGAAGUCUCCAAGUUUUAUUGGUCACCCUCCUGUGUUUCCCUCCCAGCCUAGUGAGAAUGAAUGAUGUAGACUGUCUGUGGAGGGAAGGAUUUUUGAAGCAGCUAAUAUUAGCAUUUUUAGUUUCAUUUUGGAAUAGCAGGAAAUAGUUGUCAGUGAAUAAUUAUUUUAAGAUCGGGCUGGGUGAAUGUCUGGGGGGAGCUUUGAGGACCAAUUUCACAUGAGCAGAGCAGGAUUAUGAUAUUUUUCUAUUCUGGAUUCGAAAUUACAGUCAUGCAACAGAACAUGGAAUGUUAAAACUGUAGCUUUGCGUGCUUGCCCAGCAUGCUCAAGGGCACAUCUCAAGCCUUGAAAUUCAAGUUGUAAGUUAGCUACUUUUGGAUAAAAGGCAUUUAAGGCAUUUUUGGAGUUCAGCAUCAUUUAAUUUCUCCGUGUAGGCCUUGGACUGCUGAGACGGGAUUCAUCUAAUUGGAAGGGAUUACAUCAGAGCUAAUUGUCCUGAGCUCCCGUUGUAAUUAGGAGAGAUCCAGGCAGUGGAGUGUAGGAAGUGAUCCAUGUCACCCUAAAGAAGAGGUUUAAAAAGUAGGCCAGAGAGAUUGCUCCCUCCAAUGGCUUGUUUCUUUUCACUGAUAAUAAACGGAGCCCACAGAGACUAGCUGAGCUCUAA
Molecule: long non-coding RNA, 1471 nt
Filed under: Apteryx rowi (Okarito brown kiwi)
Lineage: Eukaryota; Metazoa; Chordata; Aves; Apterygiformes; Apterygidae
Description: lncRNA (ENSARWG00000002020.1)
Source: RNAcentral